UAGACUUUUAUAUAGAAUACUUGAUCUAGUCUGAUCUCGGAAGCUAAGCAGGAUUGGGCCUGGUUAGUAGUUGGAUGGUAGACUGCUGGGAAUAUCAUGGGUACUGC
This 107-nucleotide ribosomal RNA is filed under the name Periophthalmus magnuspinnatus. The record is from RNAcentral. Lineage: Eukaryota; Metazoa; Chordata; Actinopteri; Gobiiformes; Gobiidae.